CGAGCGGAAUGAUGAAGAAGCUUGCUUCUUCUGAUUUUAGCGGCGGACGGGUGAGUAACACGUGGGCAACCUACCUUGUAGAUUGGGAUAACUCCGGGAAACCGGGGCUAAUACCGAAUAAUCCAUUUUGCUUCAUGGCGAGAUGUUGAAAGACGGUUUCGGCUGUCACUACAAGAUGGGACCCGCGGCGCAUUAGCUAGUUGGUAGGGUAAUGGCCUACCAAGGCGACGAUGCGUAGCCGACCUGAGAGGGUGAUCGGCCACACUGGGACUGAGACACGGCCCAGACUCCUACAGGAGGCAGCAGUAGGGAAUCUUCCACAAUGGACGAAAGUCUGAUGGAGCAACGCCGCGUGAGUGAAGAAGGUUUUCGGAUCGUAAAACUCUGUUGUAAGGGAAGAACACGUACGAGAGUAACUGCUCGUACCUUGACGGUACCUUAUUAGAAAGCCACGGCUAACUACGUG
RNAcentral lists this ribosomal RNA (466 nucleotides) under uncultured bacterium. Its description in RNAcentral is "bacterial SSU rRNA". It matches the Rfam family "Bacterial small subunit ribosomal RNA", at positions 63 to 507 of the family's 1533-position model. The record is from RNAcentral.